This 499-nucleotide ribosomal RNA is filed under the name uncultured bacterium. Its description in RNAcentral is "bacterial SSU rRNA". It matches the Rfam family "Bacterial small subunit ribosomal RNA", at positions 903 to 1397 of the family's 1533-position model. The record is from RNAcentral.
AAAUGAAUAGACGGGGGCCCGCACAAGCAGUGGAGCGUGUGGUUUAAUUCGAGGCAACGCGCAGAACCUUACCAGGGUUUGACAUCAUACUGACGUCUGUAGAAACACAGAUUUCCGUUUAGGCGGACGGUAUGACAGGUGUUGCAUGGUUGUCGUCAGCUCGUGUCGUGAGAUGUUGGGUUAAGUCCCGCAACGAGCGCAACCCCUAUCCAAUGUUGCCAACAGGUAAAGCUGGGGACUCAUUGGAGACUGCCGGAGACGAUCUGGAGGAAGGUGGGGAUGAGGUCAAAUCAUCAUGGCCCUUAAGCCCUGGGCUACACACGCGCUACAAUGGCCGGUACAACGGGCAGCGAAGGAGCGAUCUGGAGCGAAUCCCAAAAAGCCGGCCCCAGUUGGAAUCGCAGGCUGCAACCCGCCUGCGUGAACAUGGAAUUGCUAGUAAUCGCGAAUCAGCUACGUCGCGGUGAAUACGUUCCCGGGCCUUGUACACACCGCCCGU